Molecule: ribosomal RNA, 465 nt
Filed under: uncultured bacterium
Lineage: Bacteria
Description: partial 16S ribosomal RNA
Rfam family: Bacterial small subunit ribosomal RNA
Source: RNAcentral
CUACGGGUCGCUGCAGUGAGGAAUUUUGCGCAAUGGGGGAAACCCUGACGCAGCAACGCCGCGUGAGUGAUGAAGGCCCUCGGGUCGUAAAGCUCUGUCAAGUGGGAAGAACCUAUCGAUAUUGAACAGGUAUUGAUACUGACGGUACCACAAGAGGAAGCACCGGCUAACUCCGUGCCAGCAGCCGCGGUAAUACGGGGGGUGCAAGCGUUAUUCGGAAUCAUUGGGCGUAAAGGGCGCGCAGGCGGCCUUGUCAGUCAGAUGUGAAAGCCCGGGGCUCAACCCCGGAAGUGCAUUUGAAACUAUGAGGCUUGAGUAUGGGAGAGGGAAGUGGAAUUCCUGGUGUAGCGGUGAUAUGCGUAGAUAUCAGGAGGAACACCGGUGGCGAAGGCGACUUCCUGGACCAAUACUGACGCUGAGGCGCGAAGGCGUGGGGAGCAAACAGGAUUAGAUACCCGAGUAGUC